Long non-coding RNA from Myxocyprinus asiaticus (Chinese sucker), 1200 nucleotides. RefSeq lists it as uncharacterized. The record is from RefSeq and is a predicted model, not a curated record. Lineage: Eukaryota; Metazoa; Chordata; Actinopteri; Cypriniformes; Catostomidae. The transcript has 5 exons.
GGCCAAGAACCCCCUUCACACGUGUAGACAAAGGGACCCAUCAACACAACACAAAUAUGCACUCUAAAAGUUUUUCCGUGGCCGCGACUUCACGCCAACACCACGCAAAAUGCUCAGGCCAACAUGCACAUUCAGUUUCGGAAUUGUGGAUAAUGGAUAGCUUCUAUUCUCAACGGACACCCUUUUUUAGGAUUCAUGGACACUUUCAUUAUUUUUCUGCAGUGGAAUAUUACUUUCCCCCUGGAUUACUGGGCUAUUCAUAAUGAUAAUUAUUCAUUCCUACAUCUUGACAUGAAGAAGAAACUAAAGACGGUGUCUCCUUCAUGCCCUAUUCUCCAACUUUGAGCAUGUGUUUCUCAUCUCGUCAUGGCUUAUUAACUGAAGAUUGGAAUGGCCCGCUGCAGUGCUGAUGAGAGGACUAGGUUGCCCCAGUUCUACAACACCUGCACAGGAUUGGUACAUCCGAAUAUCACACCUGCUGGACAGGUACAGGAUGGCAACAACAACUGCCCGAGUUACACCAGGGACGCACAAUCCCUCCAUCAGUGUUCAGACUGUCUGCAAUGGGCUGAGAGAGGCUGGACUGAGGGCUUGUAGGCCUGUUGUAAGGCAGGUCCUUACCAGACAUCAUCGGCAACAACACUACCUAUGGGCACAAACCCACCUUCGCUGGACCAGACAGGACUGGCAGAAAGUGCUCUUCACUGGAUCUCACAGCAAGAACUGGCAAAUCUGGUGCAGUCGAUGAGGAGAUGCACUGCAGUACUUAAUGCAGCUGGUGGCCACACCAGAUACUGACUGUUACUUUUGAUUUUGACCCCCACUUUGUUCAGUGACUCAUUAUUCCAUUUCUGUUAGUCACAUGUCUGUGAAACUUCAGUUUAUGUCUUAGCUGUUGAAACUUAUGUUCAUACAAAUAUUUACACAUGUUAAGUCUGCUGAAAAUAAAAGCAGUUGGAAUUAAAUAAUGUUAUUUAGUCCAUGUAAAUAUAUAGUUAUAUGAAGUAUAAACAACUCUCUAUGGACACGUUGUAGAGAGAAUCGCCAUUGGCUAGUACAUUUUUGUUUUUACUCGCCAGACUUUUGACAACAUGCAAGCAUAAUGAAACUGAAUACUUAAAAUAUUAAGAAAAUCGAGAAGGGGGCAUCUUCACAUAUCUAUAGUAUUCAUAUACAGGUGCAUCUCAAUAAAUUAGAAUG